GUAGGUGGCAAGCGUGUCCGGAAUUAUUGGGCGUAAAGCGCGCGCAGGUGGUUCGUUUAAGUCUGAUGUGAAAGCCCCCGGGCUCAACCGGGGAGGGUCAUUGGAAACUGGGGAACUUGAGUGCAGGAGAGGAAAGUGGAAUUCCACGUGUAGCGGUGAAAUGCGUAGAUAUGUGGAGGAACACCAGUGGCGAAGGCGACUUUCUGGCCUGUAACUGACACUGAGGCGCGAAAGCGUGGGGAGCAAACAGGAUUAGAUACCCUGGUAGUCCACGCCGUAAACGAUGAGUGCUAAGUGUUGGGGGGUUUCCGCCCCUCAGUGCUGCAGCUAACGCAUUAAGCACUCCGCCUGGGGAGUACGGUCGCAAAGACUG
This 373-nucleotide ribosomal RNA is filed under the name uncultured organism. Its description in RNAcentral is "partial 16S ribosomal RNA". It matches the Rfam family "Bacterial small subunit ribosomal RNA", at positions 527 to 896 of the family's 1533-position model. The record is from RNAcentral.